RNAcentral lists this ribosomal RNA (460 nucleotides) under uncultured bacterium. RNAcentral describes it as "partial 16S ribosomal RNA". It matches the Rfam family "Bacterial small subunit ribosomal RNA", at positions 338 to 795 of the family's 1533-position model. The record is from RNAcentral.
CCUACGGGAGGCAGCAGUGAGGAAUAUUGGUCAAUGGACGCGAGUCUGAACCAGCCAAGUAGCGUGAAGGAUGACUGCCCUACGGGUUGUAAACUUCUUUUAUAAAGGAAUAAAGUGAGGCACGUGUGCCUUUUUGCAUGUACUUUAUGAAUAAGGAUCGGCUAACUCCGUGCCAGCAGCCGCGGUAAUACGGAGGAUCCGAGCGUUAUCCGGAUUUAUUGGGUUUAAAGGGAGCGUAGAUGGGUUGUUAAGUCAGUUGUGAAAGUUUGCGGCUCAACCGUAAAAUUGCAAUUGAUACUGGCAGCCUUGAGUACAGUUGAGGUAGGCGGAAUUCGUGGUGUAGCGGUGAAAUGCUUAGAUAUCACGAAGAACUCCGAUUGCGAAGGCAGCUUACUAAACUGCGACUGACAUUGAUGCUCGAAAGUGUGGGUAUCAAACAGGAUUAGAUACCCGUGUAGUC